CAAUUAGUCUUUUACUCCGAUCUCUCAAGAUCCUUAUCCCUAGAAUAUAUGUAGCUUCUCCUAGGUCCUUCAUAGAGAAACACUUCCCAAGCCAGGACUUAACUUCCUGCAGAGUUGGGAUGUCAUUUCCUAUGAGUAGUAUGUCAUCCACAUACAACACCAAAAAGCUAACUAUACUCCCACUAGCCUUGACAUACACGCAAGACUCAUCUUCACUCCUAGAAAAGCCAAAUUCCUUGACCUUUUCAUCAAAGCAAAGAUUCCAUCUGCGAGGUGCUUGCUUCAAUCCAUAAAUGGAUUUAUCAAGCUUACACACUCUAUUAGGGUACUCGUUGCUGACAAAACCUUCUGCCUGACUCAUGUAAAUAUCUUCAACCAACUUUCCAUUAAGGAAAGCUNACACACAAGAUUCAUCUUCACUCCUAGAAAAGCCAAAUUCCUUGACCUUUUCAUCAAAGCAAAGAUUCCAUCUGCGAGGUGCUUGCUUCAAUCCAUAAAUGGAUUUCUCAAGCUUACACACUCUAUUAGGGUACUCGUUGCUGACAAAACCCUCUGGCUGACUCAUGUAAACAUCUUCAGCCAACUUUCCAUUAAGGAAAGCGGUUUUGACAUCCAUCUGCCAUAUUUCAUAGUCAUGA
This 638-nucleotide long non-coding RNA is filed under the name Lactuca sativa (garden lettuce). RNAcentral describes it as "long non-coding RNA (LSAT_LNC010193)". The record is from RNAcentral. Lineage: Eukaryota; Viridiplantae; Streptophyta; Magnoliopsida; Asterales; Asteraceae.